CCGGCGUUGAAUCCAAUUGAACCGCAGGCUUCACCCCUUGUGGUGCUCCCCCGCCAAUUCCUUUAAGUUUCAGACUUGCGUCCGUACUUCCCAGGCGGCAAACUUAACGGCUUCCCUGCGGCACUGCGUUGGCCAUAAGCCAACGCAUCACCGAGUUUGCAUCGUUUACAGCUGGGACUACCCGGGUAUCUAAUCCGGUUUGCUCCCCCAGCUUUCAUCCCUCACCGUCGAACGCGUUCUGGCAGACCGCCUUCGCCACUGGUGGUCCUCGAUGGAUCAGUGGAUUUUACCCCUACCCACCGAAUACCGUCUGCCUCUCCCGCUCCCUAGCUAUGUAGUAUCUCCGGCAGCCCAUCUGUUGAGCAGUUGGAUUUAACCGGAGACUUGCAUAGCCGGCUACGGAUGCUUUAGGCCCAAUAAACCUCCUGACCACUCGAGGUGCUGGUAUUACCGCGGCGGCUGACACCAGACUUGCCCACCCCUUAUUCGUCUGUGGUUUUACGACUGACAAAAGGUUCCUUUAGCAGGAGCCACUCGGAUUAACCUAGUCGUGCUUUCGCACAUUGCUAAGGUUUCUCGCCUGCUGCGCCCCAUAGGGCCUGGGUCCGUGUCUCAGUACCCAUCUCCGGGCUUCUCCUCUCAGAGCCCGUACCUGUUAUAGCCUUGGUGGGCCAUUACCUCACCAACAAGCUGAUAGGCCGCAGUCCCAUCCUACGGCAAUAAAUUGUUUGAACCAUAAGCCAUUCCAGGCAUCAUGAUCUAUCGUGGUUUAUUCUCAGUUUCCCGAGGUUAUCCACGUCCAUAGGUUAGGUUGACUACGUGUUACUGAGCCGUCCGCCUUGUAUUGCUACAAUGACUCGCAUGGCUCAGUACCAAUCCGAUAGCAGUCAGGUCCGGCGGGAAUCAACC
Molecule: ribosomal RNA, 909 nt
Filed under: uncultured archaeon
Lineage: Archaea
Description: 16S ribosomal RNA
Source: RNAcentral